GUGAGGAAUAUUGCGCAAUGGAGGCAACUCUGACGCAGCCAUGCCGCGUGCAGGAAGAAGGCGCUACGCGUUGUAAACUGCUUUUAACCGGGAAGAAACCCCAGGACGUGUCCUGGGUUGACGGUACCGGAGGAAUAAGCACCGGCUAACUUCGUGCCAGCAGCCGCGGUAAUACGAAGGGUGCAAGCGUUAUCCGGAUUCAUUGGGUUUAAAGGGUGCGUAGGCGGAGCGUUAAGUCAGUGGUGAAAUCCUGCAGCUUAACUGUAGACUUGCCAUUGAUACUGGCGCUCUUGAGUGCGCUUGAAGUGGGCGGAGUGUGCCGUGUAGCGGUGAAAUGCUUAGAUAUGGCACAGAACACCAAUUGCGAAGGCAGCUCACUAAGGCGAUACUGACGCUGAGGCACGAAAGCGUGGGGAUCGAACAGGAUUAGAAACCCUGGUAGUCC
RNAcentral lists this ribosomal RNA (445 nucleotides) under uncultured bacterium. RNAcentral's name for it is "partial 16S ribosomal RNA". It matches the Rfam family "Bacterial small subunit ribosomal RNA", at positions 354 to 796 of the family's 1533-position model. The record is from RNAcentral.